GACGAACGCUGGCGGCGUGCUUAACACAUGCAAGUCGAACGGAAAGGCCCUGCUUUUGUGGGGUGCUCGAGUGGCGAACGGGUGAGUAACACGUGAGUAACCUGCCCUUGACUUUGGGAUAACUUCAGGAAACUGGGGCUAAUACCGGAUAGGAGCUCCUGCUGCAUGGUGGGGGUUGGAAAGUUUCGGCGGUUGGGGAUGGACUCGCGGGUUAUCAGCGUGUUGGUGGGGUAGUGGCUUACCAAGGCUUUGCCGGGUAGCCGGCCUGGGAGGGUGACCGGCCACAUGGGGCCUGAGAGACGGACCAGACUCCUACGGGAGGCAGCAGUGGGGAAUAUUGCACAAUGGGCGGAAGCGUGAUGCAGCAACGCCGCGUGCGGGAUGACGGCCUUCGGGGUGUAAACCGCUUUCGCAUGUGCCGAAGCGUGAGUGACGGUAAUGGGUAAAGAAGCACCGGCUAACUACGUG
This 468-nucleotide ribosomal RNA is filed under the name uncultured bacterium. RNAcentral describes it as "partial 16S ribosomal RNA". It matches the Rfam family "Bacterial small subunit ribosomal RNA", at positions 28 to 507 of the family's 1533-position model. The record is from RNAcentral.